GACGAACGCUGGCAGCGUGCCUAAUACAUGCAAGUAGAACGCUGAAGAGAGGAGCUUGCUCUUCUUGGAUGAGUUGCGAACGGGUGAGUAACGCGUAGGUAACCUGCCUUGUAGCGGGGGAUAACUAUUGGAAACGAUAGCUAAUACCGCAUAACAAUGGAUGACACAUGUCAUUUAUUUGAAAGGGGCAAUUGCUCCACUACAAGAUGGACCUGCGUUGUAUUAGCUAGUAGGUGAGGUAAUGGCUCACCUAGGCGACGAUACAUAGCCGACCUGAGAGGGUGAUCGGCCACACUGGGACUGAGACACGGCCCAGACUCCUACGGGAGGCAGCAGUAGGGAAUCUUCGGCAAUGGGGGCAACCCUGACCGAGCAACGCCGCGUGAGUGAAGAAGGUUUUCGGAUCGUAAAGCUCUGUUGUAAGUCAAGAACGGGUGUGAGAGUGGAAAGUUCACACUGUGACGGUAGCUUAACAGAAAGGGACGGCUAACUACGUG
This 497-nucleotide ribosomal RNA is filed under the name uncultured bacterium. RNAcentral describes it as "partial 16S ribosomal RNA". It matches the Rfam family "Bacterial small subunit ribosomal RNA", at positions 28 to 507 of the family's 1533-position model. The record is from RNAcentral.